This 81-nucleotide ribosomal RNA is filed under the name Pezicula cinnamomea. RNAcentral describes it as "partial 28S ribosomal RNA". It matches the Rfam family "Eukaryotic large subunit ribosomal RNA", at positions 1 to 80 of the family's 3401-position model. Lineage: Eukaryota; Fungi; Ascomycota; Leotiomycetes; Helotiales; Dermateaceae. The record is from RNAcentral.
UUGACCUCGGAUCAGGUAGGGAUACCCGCUGAACUUAAGCAUAUCAAUAAGCGGAGGAAAAGAAACCAACAGGGAUUACCU